AACGAACGCUGGCGGCAGGCCUAACACAUGCAAGUCGAGCGCACCCUUCGGGGUGAGCGGCGGACGGGUGAGUAACGCGUGGGAACGUGCCCUUCUCUGCGGAAUAGCCUCGGGAAACUGAGAGUAAUACCGCAUACGCCCUUUGGGGGAAAGAUUUAUCGGAGCAGGAUCGGCCCGCGUUGGAUUAGGUAGUUGGUGGGGUAAUGGCCCACCAAGCCGACGAUCCAUAGCUGGUUUGAGAGGAUGAUCAGCCACACUGGGACUGAGACACGGCCCAGACUCCUACGGGAGGCAGCAGUGGGGAAUCUUAGACAAUGGGGGCAACCCUGAUCUAGCCAUGCCGCGUGAGUGAUGAAGGCCUUAGGGUUGUAAAGCUCUUUCAGCUGGGAAGAUAAUGACGGUACCAGCAGAAGAAGCCCCGGCUAACUCCGUG
This 433-nucleotide ribosomal RNA is filed under the name uncultured bacterium. Its description in RNAcentral is "partial 16S ribosomal RNA". It matches the Rfam family "Bacterial small subunit ribosomal RNA", at positions 29 to 507 of the family's 1533-position model. The record is from RNAcentral.